RNAcentral lists this ribosomal RNA (445 nucleotides) under uncultured bacterium. RNAcentral describes it as "bacterial SSU rRNA". It matches the Rfam family "Bacterial small subunit ribosomal RNA", at positions 330 to 792 of the family's 1533-position model. The record is from RNAcentral.
ACCAGACUCCUACGGGAGGCAGCAGUGGGGGAUAUUGCACAAUGGGGGGAACCCUGAUGCAGCGACGCCGCGUGGGUGAAGAAGCGCCUCGGCGCGUAAAGCCCUGUCAGCAGGGAAGAAAAUGACGGUACCUGAAGAAGAAGCCCCGGCUAACUACGUGCCAGCAGCCGCGGUAAUACGUAGGGGGCAAGCGUUAUCCGGAUUUACUGGGUGUAAAGGGGGCGCAGACGGCGAUGCAAGCCAGGAGUGAAAGCCCGGGGCCCAACCCCGGGACUGCUCUUGGAACUGCGUGGCUGGAGUGCAGGAGGGGCAGGCGGAAUUCCUGGUGUAGCGGUGAAAUGCGUAGAUAUCAGGAGGAACACCGGUGGCGAAGGCGGCCUGCUGGACAGCAACUGACGCUGAGGCGCGAAAGCGUGGGGAGCAAACAGGAUUAGAUACCCGAGUA